This 422-nucleotide ribosomal RNA is filed under the name uncultured archaeon. Its description in RNAcentral is "partial 16S ribosomal RNA". It matches the Rfam family "Archaeal small subunit ribosomal RNA", at positions 323 to 746 of the family's 1478-position model. The record is from RNAcentral.
CUACGGGCGGCAGCAGGCGAGAAAACUUUGCAAUGUGCGAAAGCACGACAAGGUUAAUCCGAGUGGUUUCUGCUAAAGGAACCUUUUGUCAGUCCUAGAAACACUGAUGAAUAAGGGGUGGGCAAGUUCUGGUGUCAGCCGCCGCGGUAAAACCAGCACCUCAAGUGGUCAGGAUGAUUAUUGGGCCUAAAGCAUCCGUAGCCGGCUUUGUAAGUUUUCGGUUAAAUCCAUACGCUUAACGUAUGGGCUGCCGGGAAUACUGCAAAGCUAGGGAGUGGGAGAGGUAGACGGUACUCGGUAGGAAGGGGUAAAAUCCUUUGAUCUAUUGAUGACCACCUGUGGCGAAGGCGGUCUACCAGAACACGUCCGACGGUGAGGGAUGAAAGCUGGGGGAGCAAACCGGAUUAGAUACCCCAGUAGUC